RNAcentral lists this unclassified non-coding RNA (329 nucleotides) under soil metagenome. RNAcentral's name for it is "partial contains 5.8S ribosomal RNA, internal transcribed spacer 2, and large subunit ribosomal RNA". The stretch from base 1 to 120 matches the Rfam family "5.8S ribosomal RNA", at positions 35 to 154 of the family's 154-position model. The record is from RNAcentral.
GAUGAAGAACGUAGCGAAAUGCGAUACGUAAUGUGAAUUGCAGAAUUCAGUGAAUCAUCGAGUCUUUGAACGCACAUUGCGCCCCUUGGUAUUCCGGGGGGCAUGCCUGUUCGAGCGUCAUUACAACCCUCAAGCUCUGCUUGGUCUUGGGCGUCACCGGUCCCCGGUGUGCCUUAAAAUCAGUGGCGGCGCCAUCUGGCUCUAAGCGUAGUACAUACUCUCGCUACAGACGUCCGGUGGAUGCUGGCCAGCAACCCCCAAUUUAUCAAGGUUGGCCUCGGAUCAGGUAGGGAUACCCGCUGAACUUAAGCAUAUCAAUAAGCGGAGGA